Molecule: long non-coding RNA, 226 nt
Filed under: Elaeis guineensis (African oil palm)
Lineage: Eukaryota; Viridiplantae; Streptophyta; Magnoliopsida; Arecales; Arecaceae
Description: long non-coding RNA (EGUI_LNC069452)
Source: RNAcentral
GGAGCCUGAGAUCUGGCCGCGGAGGUCGUGGAUCACCGAGUGGAUGCUUUGCGGGGAGGCAUUGGGCGAAGAUCUAGUGAAGGAAGGAGAAGAGGAUGUCGGAGAAGAUGACUGGAGGCGAUCCCGUUGAGCGCUCCUUUAAAAAUAAGGGUACUACGAAGAUACAGCCCCUUCCUUUAGCGCCAAUCCCGUUGCUGCAAAAAUCUACCGACGUCGGAGAAGCUGG